This 244-nucleotide ribosomal RNA is filed under the name uncultured Staphylococcus sp. RNAcentral describes it as "partial 16S ribosomal RNA". It matches the Rfam family "Bacterial small subunit ribosomal RNA", at positions 96 to 334 of the family's 1533-position model. Lineage: Bacteria; Bacillati; Bacillota; Bacilli; Caryophanales; Staphylococcaceae. The record is from RNAcentral.
CGGCGGACGGGUGAGUAACACGUGGAUAACCUACCUAUAAGACUGGGAUAACUUCGGGAAACCGGAGCUAAUACCGGAUAAUAUUUUGAACCGCAUGGUUCAAAAGUGAAAGACGGCCUUGCUGUCACUUAUAGAUGGAUCCGCGCUGCAUUAGCUAGUUGGUAAGGUAACGGCUUACCAAGGCAACGAUGCAUAGCCGACCUGAGAGGGUGAUCGGCCACACUGGAACUGAGACACGGUCCAG